This 599-nucleotide ribosomal RNA is filed under the name uncultured bacterium. RNAcentral's name for it is "bacterial SSU rRNA". It matches the Rfam family "Bacterial small subunit ribosomal RNA", at positions 202 to 798 of the family's 1533-position model. The record is from RNAcentral.
AAGGCCUGGCGCUUAAGGAUGAGCUCGCGGCCUAUCAGCUAGUUGGAGGGGUAACGGCCCACCAAGGCUAAGACGGGUAGCUGGUCUUAGAGGACGACCAGCCACACUGGAACUGAGACACGGUCCAGACACCUACGGGUGGCAGCAGUCGAGAAUUUUUCACACUGGGCGAAAGCCUGAUGGAGCGACGCCGCGUGGGGGAUGAAGGGCUUCGGCCUGUAAACCCCUGUCAUUUGCGAACAAGACUGGCGCUUGAACAGGGCGCCGGGUUGAUUGUAGCGAAAGAGGAAGGGACGGCUAACUCUGUGCCAGCAGCCGCGGUAAUACAGAGGUCCCAAGCGUUGUUCGGAUUUACUGGGCGUAAAGGGUGUGUAGGCGGUAAAGAUAGUCUGACGUUAAAUAUCUGGGCUCAACCCAGACACCGCGUUGGGUACUUCUUAACUCGAGAGGCAUAGGGGGAACCGGAAUUCUCGGUGUAGCAGUGAAAUGCGUAGAUAUCGAGAGGAACGCCAGUGGCGAAAGCGGGUUCCUGGAUGCCUUCUGACGCUGAGGCACUAAAGCUGGGGGAGCAAACGGGAUUAGAUACCCUGGUAGUCCUA